CCUACGGGUGGCUGCAGUGGGGAAUAUUGCGCAAUGGGCGAAAGCCUGACGCAGCGACGCCGCGUGAGGGAUGAAGGUCUUCGGAUCGUAAACCUCUGUCAGCAGGGAAGAACGGUCACUGUGCUAAUCAGCAGUGAAUUGACGGUACCUGCAAAGGAAGCACCGGCUAACUCCGUGCCAGCAGCCGCGGUAAUACGGAGGGUGCGAGCGUUAAUCGGAUUUACUGGGCGUAAAGCGAUCGUAGGCGGUAUGUCAAGUCAAGGGUGAAAUCCCCGCGCUCAACGUGGGAACUGCCUUUGAAACUGGCAAACUGGAGUGUGUGAGAGGAUGGUGGAAUUCGUGGUGUAGGGGUGAAAUGCGUAGAUAUCUGGAGGAACAUCAGUGGCGAAGGCGACUAUCUGGCACAUAACUGACGCUGAGGAGCGAAAGCGUGGGUAGCAAACAGGAUUAGAUACCCGAGUAGUC
This 465-nucleotide ribosomal RNA is filed under the name uncultured bacterium. RNAcentral describes it as "partial 16S ribosomal RNA". It matches the Rfam family "Bacterial small subunit ribosomal RNA", at positions 338 to 795 of the family's 1533-position model. The record is from RNAcentral.